CGGGGCGUAGCGCAGUUGGUAGCGUGCUUGUAUGGGGUACAAGAGGUCGAGAGUUCAAAUCUCUCCGCCCCGA
This 73-nucleotide transfer RNA is filed under the name Chloroflexota bacterium. Its description in RNAcentral is "Chloroflexi bacterium (groundwater metagenome) tRNA-Pro". It matches the Rfam family "tRNA". From Rfam's summary of the family: Transfer RNA (tRNA) molecules are approximately 80 nucleotides in length. Their secondary structure includes four short double-helical elements and three loops (D, anti-codon, and T loops). Further hydrogen bonds mediate the characteristic L-shaped molecular structure. tRNAs have two regions of fundamental functional importance: the anti-codon, which is responsible for specific mRNA codon recognition, and the 3' end, to which the tRNAs corresponding amino acid is attached (by aminoacyl-tRNA synthetases). tRNAs cope with the degeneracy of the genetic code in two manners: having more than one tRNA (with a specific anti-codon) for a particular amino acid; and 'wobble' base-pairing, i.e. permitting non-standard base-pairing at the 3rd anti-codon position. The record is from RNAcentral. Lineage: Bacteria; Bacillati; Chloroflexota.